UUAGGAUCGAAAGGAGAAACGCAGACGAAAUCCCGCGAAUGAUAAAGCAGCGACGCAAUAUAAACGAAUACAAAGAGGAGGCAGAGGAUGAGACACGGGGUAGGACAAGGGCAGAAGUGGGACAAGCGGGACAUGUAAUUAGCAGCCAAUAAAGAGAGGUUCUGUUUCUUGGUCUUGGACUCAAGAUAGUCGAAGUGUCGGAAUCGGAAACAGCGUCGUCGGGGUAGGGAGAAACCCGACGGGAGGAGAGGACUCGCUCCAGCAUCUUAGCGGAGGAAGUGGUGGUCUUGGGACUGUGGGGUUGCUUCAGAGCGUGCAUAGUGAACAUUUUCUGUUGUCAAAGUUUUAACCUUUUCCUUCAAGUUUCAGUCUUUGAGACAACCAUAUCAUGCUCAGGAGACCGGCGAUCAAGUCUUG
RNAcentral lists this unclassified non-coding RNA (417 nucleotides) under Hevea brasiliensis (rubber tree). The record is from RNAcentral. Lineage: Eukaryota; Viridiplantae; Streptophyta; Magnoliopsida; Malpighiales; Euphorbiaceae.